UCCGUAGGGGGCAAGCGUUGUCCGGAUUUAUUGGGCGUAAAGAGCGUGUAGGCGGCCGUGUAGGUCCGUUGUGAAAACUCGAGGCUCAACCUCGAGACGUCGAUGGAAACCACACGGCUAGAGUCCGGAAGAGGAGAGUGGAAUUCCUGGUGUAGCGGUGAAAUGCGCAGAUAUCAGGAAGAACACCUAUGGCGAAGGCAGCUCUCUGGGCCGGCACUGACGCUGAGGAGCGAAAGCGUGGGGAGCGAACAGG
RNAcentral lists this ribosomal RNA (253 nucleotides) under uncultured bacterium. Its description in RNAcentral is "partial 16S ribosomal RNA". It matches the Rfam family "Bacterial small subunit ribosomal RNA", at positions 524 to 776 of the family's 1533-position model. The record is from RNAcentral.